RNAcentral lists this ribosomal RNA (406 nucleotides) under uncultured bacterium. RNAcentral describes it as "partial 16S ribosomal RNA". It matches the Rfam family "Bacterial small subunit ribosomal RNA", at positions 30 to 526 of the family's 1533-position model. The record is from RNAcentral.
AUUGAACGCUGGCGGCAGGCCUAACACAUGCAAGUCGAGCGACCGGCGGGCGGGUGAGUAAUGUGUGGGAGCCUGCUUGAUGGGGGGGACUACCUACUGGCAUAGGUAGCUCAUCCCGCAUCCCGUCCGAUGUGUCCAGGUGGGAUUAGCUAGUAGGUGGGGUAAUGGCUCACCUAGGCGACGAUCCCUAGCUGGUCUGAGAGGAUGACCAGCCACACUGGAACUGAGACACGGCCCAGACUCCUACGGGAGGCAGCAGUGGGGAAUUUUGCACAAUGGGCGAAAGCCUGAUGCAGCCAUGCCGCGUGUGUGAUGAAGGCCUUCGGGUUGUAAAGCACUUUCAGCGGGGAGGCGUUACCCGCAGAAGAAGCACCGGCUAACUCCGUGCCAGCAGCCGCGGUAAUUC